CCACCGUCAACCGCGACGGCAUCCGACAGUCCAGAACAGUCUAUACACUACUGUAAAAAUAAACUCGGGGUCCCAGCACGAGCGUAAAUUCAUUCUACACUAUUCUGGAUAUUCACCGCCUACAAACUGCAACGAUACAAACAAACUACAGCUCCUAAAGCUAAAUCUGGUAGUUUUCAGAAAAUGACAGUGUAAAAUCUAUAGUUUUAUCCUAAGUCAAUUCCAAGUACAACAUGUAUAAUUUAU
Molecule: long non-coding RNA, 246 nt
Filed under: Ananas comosus (pineapple)
Lineage: Eukaryota; Viridiplantae; Streptophyta; Magnoliopsida; Poales; Bromeliaceae
Description: long non-coding RNA (ACOM_LNC005065)
Source: RNAcentral